Molecule: ribosomal RNA, 116 nt
Filed under: uncultured Vibrio sp.
Lineage: Bacteria; Pseudomonadati; Pseudomonadota; Gammaproteobacteria; Vibrionales; Vibrionaceae
Description: partial 16S ribosomal RNA
Rfam family: Bacterial small subunit ribosomal RNA
Source: RNAcentral
GGGCGUAAAGCGCAUGCAGGUGGUUUGUUAAGUCAGAUGUGAAAGCCCUGGGCUCAACCUAGGAAUCGCAUUUGGAACUGACAAGCUAGAGUACUGUAGAGGGGGGUAGAAUUUCA